AUUUCUUCAGAUAAAGAAUCCAUGAGUGGUGCACGCUUGUAAGCCUAGAGCUCAGGAGGCUGAAGCAAGAGGAUCGCCAAGUUCAAAGCCAGCCUCAGCAAAAGCAAGGCAUUAAGCAACUCAGUGAGACCAAGCAACUCAGUGAGACCCCGUCUCUAAAUAAAAAUGCAAAAAAUAGGGCUGCUGAUGUGGCUCAGUAGUUGAGUGUCCCUGAGUUCAAUCCCUGGUAGAAAAAAAAAAAAUCCAUGAGUGGACUGUAGGAUAAUUCUGGCUCAGGAUCUUUCGUGAGGUUACAGUCAAGGCUGUCACCAUGUGAAGCAUAGAUUGGGACUGGAGGAUCUGCUUCAAAGGCUGGCAGAUUGAUGCUGGCUAUUGGCAGGAUGCCUCUGGACUCCUCCACAAGAUUGAUUUCUCCCAGAGCAAAUUAUCGAAGAAUGAGCAAAGUGAAUGAUCUGAUGUAUUUUAUGACAUAGUCUUGGAAGUCAUACACUGUGUCAUCUCUGCAAUAUCCUAUUGGUUAUUCAAGUUGGCCCCCUUUGUGUAGGAGGGAGCUACACACACAUACACAAAGACAAAGCUAGGAGUUGAUGAUCAUUGGGCAUCAUUUUGGAGGCUGGCUGCCAACCUCUCUGCAGCACUAAACCAUGGAUGUAUCUUCAUCUUUGGAUCCACAGCUGGAAUUGAAUGUAGGGAAACCAAUUCUGGGGCUAAGAACUUCAAAACCUGAGCACCAAUAUAUUACUUCUGAAUCUGCAAAGUGAAGCAUUCAAAAUAUGCCUAGACAUAUUGGGGAUCUAGGAAAGAUCUUGAGGGUAAGAAAACCAUGUAAGUCCCACACUCCACCCCAACUCAACAUGAAUCUCCAAAAUUGUAUUUAGUCAUUCUUUCCCUUUUGAUAAACAUUUUACAAACUACAAGAUGCACAAAUCCUAGGUGUACAUUUGCCCAAUUUGUUGUUGUAGUUUGCUUUUUUUGUUUUGUCUGUUUUCAUGGUGUUGGGGAUAAACCAGGGCCUCACACAUGUUAAGCAAGAGCUCUGAGCCACUUCCAUAGCCCCUAGUUUCAAAUAAUGUCUUAUGCCUGUAAAACACCAGACCCUAUAAAAAUACAGAACAUUCCCUCUUGGUCCUUUCCAGUCGACUGCCCACCUCUGCCCUACACACCUCACACCAAGGCAACCAUUGUUCUGACAUCUUUUUACUGCAGAAUUUUAUGUGUUCUAGAAUUUCCAAUAAAUGGAAUCAUAC
Molecule: long non-coding RNA, 1247 nt
Filed under: Marmota monax (woodchuck)
Lineage: Eukaryota; Metazoa; Chordata; Mammalia; Rodentia; Sciuridae
Source: RNAcentral